GCAUUGUGUGACCUACUUAAAU
This 22-nucleotide microRNA is filed under the name Drosophila pseudoobscura. RNAcentral describes it as "dps-miR-1002-3p". The record is from miRBase by way of RNAcentral. Lineage: Eukaryota; Metazoa; Arthropoda; Insecta; Diptera; Drosophilidae. RNAcentral also lists the same sequence under 1 other name.